This 66-nucleotide transfer RNA is filed under the name marine eukaryotic metagenome. It matches the Rfam family "tRNA", at positions 5 to 66 of the family's 71-position model. From Rfam's summary of the family: Transfer RNA (tRNA) molecules are approximately 80 nucleotides in length. Their secondary structure includes four short double-helical elements and three loops (D, anti-codon, and T loops). The record is from RNAcentral.
GUGGUUAGCUCAGUUGGGAGAGCAACGGCCUUACAAGCCGUAGGUCACAGGUUCGACCCCUGUACC